RNAcentral lists this ribosomal RNA (631 nucleotides) under Jiangella sp. RNAcentral's name for it is "bacterial SSU rRNA". It matches the Rfam family "Bacterial small subunit ribosomal RNA", at positions 87 to 731 of the family's 1533-position model. The record is from RNAcentral. Lineage: Bacteria; Bacillati; Actinomycetota; Actinomycetes; Jiangellales; Jiangellaceae.
GUACUCGAGCGGCGAACGGGUGAGUAACACGUGGGUAACCUGCCUUCAGCUCUGGGAUAAGCCUGGGAAACUGGGUCUAAUACCGGAUACGACACGCGACCGCAUGGUGGUGUGUGGAAAGUUUUUCGGCUGGAGAUGGACUCGCGGCCUAUCAGCUUGUUGGUGGGGUAGUGGCCUACCAAGGCGAUGACGGGUAGCCGGCCUGAGAGGGCGACCGGCCACACUGGGACUGAGACACGGCCCAGACUCCUACGGGAGGCAGCAGUGGGGAAUAUUGCGCAAUGGGCGGAAGCCUGACGCAGCAACGCCGCGUGAGGGAUGACGGCCUUCGGGUUGUAAACCUCUUUCAGCGCUGACGAAGCCUUCGGGUGACGGUAGGCGCAGAAGAAGCACCGGCUAACUACGUGCCAGCAGCCGCGGUAAUACGUAGGGUGCGAGCGUUGUCCGGAAUUAUUGGGCGUAAAGGGCUCGUAGGCGGUUUGUCACGUCUGCUGUGAAAGCCCGGGGCUUAACCCCGGGUCUGCAGUGGAUACGGGCAGGCUAGAGUCCGGCAGGGGAGACUGGAAUUCCUGGUGUAGCGGUGGAAUGCGCAGAUAUCAGGAGGAACACCGGUGGCGAAGGCGGGUCUCUG